Molecule: unclassified non-coding RNA, 245 nt
Filed under: uncultured fungus
Lineage: Eukaryota; Fungi
Description: sequence contains ITS1
Source: RNAcentral
GUAUAAAAUUCAUCUUUUAUUCAACAUUCUAAAAUGACAGGGUGUUUUGUGUUUAGAUAGACCUGAAAUGAAAAAAAAGGGAAAGCCGACUAGAAAAGAAGCGCAGCAGUCCCAAAAACUCGGUCUACAAUAUGUGCACAGUUGGAGAGAUAUAAAGAUGACAAGCGUGCACAUUGUCCUGGGACCAGCAACAGCCUGUUCAAGUUUAUUCGAUAAUGAUCCUUCCGCAGGUUCACCUACGGAAA